RNAcentral lists this ribosomal RNA (504 nucleotides) under uncultured bacterium. Its description in RNAcentral is "partial 16S ribosomal RNA". It matches the Rfam family "Bacterial small subunit ribosomal RNA", at positions 30 to 523 of the family's 1533-position model. The record is from RNAcentral.
AUUGAACGCUAGCGGCAUGCCAAACACAUGCAAGUCGAACGGCAGCACGAGGAGCUUGCUCCUUGGUGGCGAGUGGCGGACGGGUGAGUAACGCGUAGGAAUCUGCCUCGUAGUGGGGGACAACCCGGGGAAACUCGGGCUAAUACCGCAUAAUCUCUUCGGAGCAAAGUUGGUGACCUUCGGGCCUAACACUAUGAGAUGAGCCUGCGUUGGAUUAGCUAGUUGGUGGGGUAAAGGCCUACCAAGGCGACGAUCCAUAGCUGGUCUGAGAGGACGACCAGCCACACUGGGACUGAGACACGGCCCAGACUCCUACGGGAGGCAGCAGUGGGGAAUAUUGGACAAUGGGCGAAAGCCUGAUCCAGCAAUGCCGCGUGUGUGAAGAAGGCCCUCGGGUUGUAAAGCACUUUUAGUGGGGAAGAAAAAGACAAGGAUAAUACCCUUGGAAAUUGACGUUACCCACAGAAAAAGCACUGGCUAACUCUGUGCCAGCCGCCGCGGUAA